AUUCCAGCUCCAAUAGCGUAUAUUAAAGUUGUUGCGGUUAAAAAGCUCGUAGUUGGAUUUCUGCUGAGGAUGACUGGUCCGCCCUCUGGGUGAGUAUCUAGCCUAUCCUUGGCAUCUUCCUGAAGAACGUAGCUGCACUUGACUGUGUGGUGCGGUAUUUAGGACAUUUACUUUGAGGAAAUUAGAGUGUUUCAAGCAAGCGCACGCCUUGAAUACAUUAGCAUGGAAUAAUAAGAUAGGACCUUGGUUCUAUUUUGUUGGUUUCUAGAGCUGAAGUAAUGAUUGAUAGGGAUAGUUGGGGGUGCUAGUAUUGAGCGGCCAGAGGUGAAAUUCUUGGAUUCGCUCAAGACUAACUUAUGCGAAAGCAUUCACCAAGGAUGUCUUCAUCA
RNAcentral lists this ribosomal RNA (389 nucleotides) under Ansanella sp. Its description in RNAcentral is "partial small subunit ribosomal RNA". It matches the Rfam family "Eukaryotic small subunit ribosomal RNA", at positions 582 to 975 of the family's 1831-position model. Lineage: Eukaryota; Dinophyceae; Suessiales; Suessiaceae. The record is from RNAcentral.